RNAcentral lists this ribosomal RNA (780 nucleotides) under Staphylococcus aureus. RNAcentral describes it as "partial 23S ribosomal RNA". It matches the Rfam family "Bacterial large subunit ribosomal RNA", at positions 1 to 777 of the family's 2925-position model. Lineage: Bacteria; Bacillati; Bacillota; Bacilli; Caryophanales; Staphylococcaceae. The record is from RNAcentral.
AGAUUAAGUUAUUAAGGGCGCACGGUGGAUGCCUUGGCACUAGAAGCCGAUGAAGGACGUUACUAACGACGAUAUGCUUUGGGGAGCUGUAAGUAAGCUUUGAUCCAGAGAUUUCCGAAUGGGGAAACCCAGCAUGAGUUAUGUCAUGUUAUCGAUAUGUGAAUACAUAGCAUAUCAGAAGGCACACCCGGAGAACUGAAACAUCUUAGUACCCGGAGGAAGAGAAAGAAAAUUCGAUCCCCUUAGUAGCGGCGAGCGAAACGGGAAGAGCCCAAACCAACAAGCUUGCUUGUUGGGGUUGUAGGACACUCUAUACGGAGUUACAAAGGACGACAUUAGACGAAUCAUCUGGAAAGAUGAAUCAAAGAAGGUAAUAAUCCUGUAGUCGAAAAUGUUGUCUCUCUUGAGUGGAUCCUGAGUACGACGGAGCACGUGAAAUUCCGUCGGAAUCUGGGAGGACCAUCUCCUAAGGCUAAAUACUCUCUAGUGACCGAUAGUGAACCAGUACCGUGAGGGAAAGGUGAAAAGCACCCCGGAAGGGGAGUGAAAUAGAACCUGAAACCGUGUGCUUACAAGUAGUCAGAGCCCGUUAAUGGGUGAUGGCGUGCCUUUUGUAGAAUGAACCGGCGAGUUACGAUUUGAUGCAAGGUUAAGCAGUAAAUGUGGAGCCGUAGCGAAAGCGAGUCUGAAUAGGGCGUUUAGUAUUUGGUCGUAGACCCGAAACCAGGUGAUCUACCCUUGGUCAGGUUGAAGUUCAGGUAACACUGAAUGGAGGACCGA